GGUCGCUUAGCUCAGCCGGGAGAGCACCUCCCUUACAAGGAGGGGGUCACUGGUUCGAUCCCAGUAGCGACC
Molecule: transfer RNA, 72 nt
Filed under: Shewanella algae
Lineage: Bacteria; Pseudomonadati; Pseudomonadota; Gammaproteobacteria; Alteromonadales; Shewanellaceae
Description: tRNA-Val
Rfam family: tRNA
About the family: Transfer RNA (tRNA) molecules are approximately 80 nucleotides in length. Their secondary structure includes four short double-helical elements and three loops (D, anti-codon, and T loops). Further hydrogen bonds mediate the characteristic L-shaped molecular structure. tRNAs have two regions of fundamental functional importance: the anti-codon, which is responsible for specific mRNA codon recognition, and the 3' end, to which the tRNAs corresponding amino acid is attached (by aminoacyl-tRNA synthetases). tRNAs cope with the degeneracy of the genetic code in two manners: having more than one tRNA (with a specific anti-codon) for a particular amino acid; and 'wobble' base-pairing, i.e. permitting non-standard base-pairing at the 3rd anti-codon position.
Source: RNAcentral